CCCUUAGAUGUUCUGGGCCGCACGCGCGCUACACUGACGAAUGCAACGAGCUUAUAACCUUGGCCGAAAGGUCUGGGUAAUCUCCAAAUUUCGUCGUGAUGGGGAUAGAUUAUUGCAAUUAUUAAUCUUCAACGAGGAAUGCCUAGUAAGCGCAAGUCAUCAGCUCGCGUUGAUUACGUCCCUGCCCUUUGUACACACCGCCCGUCGCUCCUACCAAUUGAAUGGUCCGGUGAAGCGUUCGGACCGUGGCCUUUGGACGGUUCGCCGUCUGUUGGCUGCGGGAAGUUCGUUAAACCUUAUCAUUUAGAGGAAGGAGAAGUCGUAACA
This 327-nucleotide ribosomal RNA is filed under the name uncultured eukaryote. RNAcentral describes it as "partial 18S ribosomal RNA". It matches the Rfam family "Eukaryotic small subunit ribosomal RNA", at positions 1470 to 1796 of the family's 1831-position model. The record is from RNAcentral.